This is a long non-coding RNA of Astatotilapia calliptera (eastern happy), 3557 nucleotides long. NCBI's taxonomy places the organism in Eukaryota, Metazoa, Chordata, Actinopteri, Cichliformes, Cichlidae. The record is from Ensembl.
GGCCGUAAGCUGCUGGCCCCAGCACAAUGUCUCAAUUUAUGGAUUCAACUGAUUAGGUGGCAAGUACCUGAAGUUACGAAGACAAUCCUUUAACCAUACCUGCAUGUUUGCAUAAUACCCUAACCCAAAGGCUCAGUUUAGCAUUUAUCUAACAGCACAGGCCCUGGAUUGUUGAAGAUGGCCUCAGGAACCAGCACAGGGCCUGGUGUGUUGUACAUGGCCACAGCUAGCAGCACAGGGCCUGGUUUGGUGAAGAUGGCCUCGGCCAGAAGCGCAGGACCUGGUGUGAUGUGAGUGGCCUGAGCAAGAGCCACAGGCCCUGGUGUGGUGUAAGUGGCCUCAGCCAGAAGCCACAGGCACUGGUGUGGUGUAAGUGGCCUCAGCCAGCAGCCACAGGCCCUGGUGUGGUGUAAGUGGCCUCAGCCAGCAGCCACAGGCCCUGGUGUGGUGUAAGUGGCCUCAAUAGCAACUAAUGCCCUGGUGUGGUGUAAGUGGCCUCAAUAGCAACUAAGGCCCUGGUGUGGUGUAAGUGGCCUCAGCCAGCAGCCACAGGCCCUGGUGUGGUGUAAGUGGCCUCAGCCAGCAGCCACAGGCCCUGGUGUGGUGUAAGUGGCCUCAGCCAGCAGCCACAGGCCCUGGUGUGGUGUAAGUGGCCUCAGCCAGCAGCCACAGGCCCUGGUGUGGUGUAAGUGGCCUCAGCCAGAGCCACAGGCCCUGGUGUGGUGUAAGUGGCCUCAAUAGCAACUAAUGCCCUGGUGUGGUGUAAGUGGCCUCAGCCAGCAGCCACAGGCCCUGGUGUGGUGUAAGUGGCCUCAGAAGCAAAUAAGGCCGUGGUGUGGUGUAAGUGGCCUCAGCCAGUGCCACAGGCCCUGGUGUGGUGUAAGUGGCCUGAGCAAGAGCCACAGGCCCUGGUGUGGUGUAAGUGGCCUCAGCCAGCAGCCACAGGCCCUGGUGUGGUGUAAGUGGCCUCAGCCAGCAGCCACAGGCCCUGGUGUGGUGUAAGUGGCCUCAGCCAGCAGCCACAGGCCCUGGUGUGGUGUAAGUGGCCUGAGCAAGAGCCACAGACCCUGGUGUGGUGUAAUUGGCCUCAAUAGCAACUAAUGCCCUGGUGUGGUGUAAGUGGCCUCAGCCAGCAGCCACAGACCCUGGUGUGGUGUACGUGGCCUCAAUAGCAACUAAUGCCCUGGUGUGGUGUAAGUGGCCUCAGCCAGCAGCCACAGGCCCUGGUGUGGUGUAAGUGGCCCCAGCCGGUCACUCAGGCCCUGGUGUGGUGUAGGUGGCAUCAGCUAGCAGCACAAGACAUUGGAAAACAGCCAAAAGCAAUGUCGUUAAUGUGCCCUCAUUAAUGGGCAGCUGCUUUUGGUCUUUUAAUACACCCCUUCUCUGGAUCAAAAGCGGUUCAAUGACAUGAAAAUGAAAGGCUUACAGCACCAGGUAUUCCCAGGUAGUCUCCCAUCCAAGUACUAACCAAGCCCAGCCCUGCUUAGCUUCCGAGAUCAGACGAGGUCGGGCGUGCUCAGGGUGGUAUGGCCGUAAGCUGCUGGCCCCAGCACAAUGUCUCAAUUUAUGGAUUCAAGUGAUUAGGUGGCAAGUACCUGAAGUUACGAAGACAAUCCUAUAACCAUACCUUCAUGUUUGCAUAAUACCCUAACCCAAAGGCUCAGUUUAGCAUUUAUCCAACAGCACAGGCCCUGGAUUGUUGAAGAUGGCCUCAGGAACCAGAACAGGGCCUGGUGUGUUGUACAUGGCCACAGCUAGCAGCACAGGGCCUGGUUUGGUGAAGAUGGCCUCGGCCAGAAGCACAGGGCCUGGUGUGAUAUGAGUGGCCUGAGCAAGAGCCACAGGCCCUGGUGUGGUGUAAGUGGCCUGAGCAAGAGCCACAGGCCCUGGUGUGGUGUAAGUGGCCUGAGCAAGAGCCACAGGCCCUGGUGUGGUGUAAGUGGCCUGAGCAAGAGCCACAGGCCCUGGUGUGGUGUAAGUGGCCUGAGCAAGAGCCACAGGCCCUGGUGUGGUGUAAGUGGCCUGAGCAAGAGCAACAGGCCCUGGUGUGGUGUAAUUGGCCUCAAUAGCAACUAAGGCCCUGGUGUGGUGUAAGUGGCCUCAGCCAGCAGCCACAGGCCCUGGUGUGGUGUAAGUGGCCUCAGAAGCAAAUAAGGCCGUGGUGUGGUGUAUGUGGCCUCAGCCAGUGCCACAGGCCCUGGUGUGGUGUAAGUGGCCUGAGCAAGAGCCACAGGCCCUGGUGUGGUGUAAGUGGCCUCAGCCAGCGCCACAGACCCUGGUGUGGUGUAAUUGGCCUCAAUAGCAACUAAUGCCCUGGUGUGGUGUAGGUGGCCUCAGCCAGCAGCCACAGGCCCUGGUGUGGUGUAAGUGUGCUGUUGGAUAAAUGCUAAACUGGCUAAACUGAGCCUUUGGGUUAGGGUAUUAUGCUGCGUUCGGUGUGGGAGGCCGCGCCUCGUCCCAUCGCUUCAAUUCCAGCGGUCAGCUUAGGGGGGGUUUGAACAGCUGGUUCCGCUCUCUUAUUUCUCCGAUAAGUCAGGGCCAAGCCAGCUCCGAUCAGCAAGAACCCUGUUAUCAUGGUUCCGAAUAGGUAAAAGUUAGCUUCAUACCUGAGAGAUGGUACCUUCAAAUUCGUCCUCCAUGGUGCUUCUAUCACUAAAACAAUCCGCUGCUGUACUCAUGAUCACAUGACUUAGAUGAUUCUGAUUGGCUGCUCAAAUGCUCAUUAGGGGUGGAGCAUUUUUAUAACAUUAGUUACCAUAGGGCUUUGGAGCGUGAUGUAACGGGGUGGGCGUGGAAAGGAUUUUGGCCUGAUGCGCCAUUUUCGUGGUCAAAAUAUAUGGCGUUAUUUUUGUGCCACUAUUCUGAGCGCACGUAAAAAAAAUUUUGAACCGUCUGAGCUAGUGAUGGCCAAAUGAAGCUUUCUGAAGCACUGAAGCUUGUAUUGAAAAACGGUUCACUACUCGAAGCUUUUCAACACAGUCCUCUCUGGUGACAUCUGGUGGCCAAAAAUAUGAAGAGCAGCUUGAAUCCACAAAAUAAAACCAACCGCUUCAUUAUGAUUGCCCACACUACAGAGUGGAAUCCUGUCUGAUAUUGGGCCUCCGUUGUGUUGCUUUGAACGUGUAUUUUUUGGUGGUUAAAAUGUGUUUUAUUCGUUUAAUAAAUAGUUUUGACCAGUAAACUCUCCUUGUUUAAACAUGCACCAUGGUGUGGUCUUUCUUUGCUUGUGACUUCUUGAUGUUGGUAAAUACAAUAAUUGAAAAAUACCGCGUUACAUAUAUAUACAUAUAAUAAUGUAAAACACAUUAUGGAGUAUGCUUCUGCUGUGAGGUCUUGCCUCCAUGCAGGUAUGCAAUUAAUCGCCGGAGGGGUGUAUUUAUAAAUAAUAUUAUAUUAAGGAAAUUUUCCCAGACAUAUUUUUGACCUGGGGGUAGAAUUGAUUGUGAAAUGGAAAAGGAAAAUGCUUAUGAACUUGCAAAUUAAAAACAUGAUGCAUUGACGGUAACCCUUUUUCAUUUUUAUUUAAAAAGAGAAUUUGUUCUAGUGUGCGAUGGCCG